CCUACGGGAGGCAGCAGUGGGGAAUAUUGGACAAUGGGCGAAAGCCUGAUCCAGCAAUGCCGCGUGAGUGAUGAAGGCCUUAGGGUUGUAAAGCUCUUUUACCCGGGAAGAUAAUGACUGUACCGGGAGAAUAAGCUCCGGCUAACUCCGUGCCAGCAGCCGCGGUAAUACGGGGGGAGCUAGCGUUGUUCGGAAUUACUGGGCGUAAAGCGCACGUAGGCGGCUGUUCAAGUCAGAGGUGAAAGCCCGGGGCUCAACCCCGGGAAUAGCCUUUGAAACCUAGAUAGCUUGAAUCCAGGAGAGGUGAGUGGAAUUCCGAGUGUAGAGGUGAAAUUCGUAGAUAUUCGGAAGAACACCAGUGGCGAAGGCGGCUCACUGGACUGGUAUUGACGCUGAGGUGCGAAAGCGUGGGGAGCGAAACAGGAUUAGAUACCCUGGUAGUCCACGCCGUAAACGAUGAUAACUAGCUGCUGGGGCUCGAUGGAGCUUCGGUGGCGCGNGCUACGCAUUAAGUUAUACCGUCCGUCGGGUAGGUACGGUCGCGAGAUAAACUACAAUAGAGUAGACGCGNGAGACGNGCCGACGACGACGACGAGGGAGAGG
RNAcentral lists this ribosomal RNA (603 nucleotides) under uncultured bacterium. Its description in RNAcentral is "bacterial SSU rRNA". It matches the Rfam family "Bacterial small subunit ribosomal RNA", at positions 338 to 1533 of the family's 1533-position model. The record is from RNAcentral.